UCCCAGGAUCUGUUCUUUUGCCUACUCCUUGGUAAGUAUCUCCUAACCAGUUCGAUAGUUGUCUCAUCUUCUCAAAUGAAUUGCAGUUGGGCUGGGCAAUUUUAUUGUGACGCCACAUGAGCAUAUAUUUCUCAAGAACGAUGUUUAUAGAUGUGUAUGUUAUGGUAGUGCAGAAGAUAAUUGAAUUAGUAUUGAUCCUUGCAAUU
This 206-nucleotide unclassified non-coding RNA is filed under the name Hevea brasiliensis (rubber tree). Lineage: Eukaryota; Viridiplantae; Streptophyta; Magnoliopsida; Malpighiales; Euphorbiaceae. The record is from RNAcentral.